This 253-nucleotide ribosomal RNA is filed under the name uncultured bacterium. RNAcentral's name for it is "partial 16S ribosomal RNA". It matches the Rfam family "Bacterial small subunit ribosomal RNA", at positions 524 to 776 of the family's 1533-position model. The record is from RNAcentral.
UGCGGAGGGUGCGAACGUUAAUCGGAAUCACUGGGCGUAAAGCGCGCGUAGGCGGUUUGUUAAGUGGGAUGUGAAAUCCCCGGGCUUAACCUGGGAAUUGCAUUUCAAACUGGCCGACUAGAGUACGGUAGAGGGAGGUAGAAUUUCCUGUGUAGCGGUGAAAUGCGUAGAUAUAGGAAGGAAUACCAGUGGCGAAGGCGGCCUCCUGGAUCGAUACUGACGCUGAGGCGCGAAAGCGUGGGGAGCAAACAGG